UACAGGACGAACGCUGGCGGCGUGCCUAACACAUGCAAGUCGAACGGAAAGGCCCAGCUUGCUGGGUGCUCGAGUGGCGAACGGGUGAGUAACACGUGGGUGAUCUGCCCCUGACUUCGGGAUAAGCUUGGGAAACUGGGUCUAAUACCGGAUAGGACAAUCGUUUAGUGUCGGUUGUGGAAAGUUUUUUCGGUUAGGGAUGAGCCCGCGGCCUAUCAGCUUGUUGGUGGGGUAAUGGCCUACCAAGGCGUCGACGGGUAGCCGGCCUGAGAGGGUGGACGGCCACAUUGGGACUGAGAUACGGCCCAGACUCCUACGGGAGGCAGCAGUGGGGAAUAUUGCACAAUGGGCGCAAGCCCUGAUGCAGCGACGCCGCGUGGGGGAUGACGGCCUUCGGGUUGUAAACCUCUUUCGACAGGGACGAAGCCUUUGUGACGGUACCUGUAUAAGAAGCACCGGCUAACUACGUGCCAGCCGCGGC
This 481-nucleotide ribosomal RNA is filed under the name uncultured bacterium. RNAcentral describes it as "bacterial SSU rRNA". It matches the Rfam family "Bacterial small subunit ribosomal RNA", at positions 23 to 518 of the family's 1533-position model. The record is from RNAcentral.